GACGAACGCUGGCGGCGUGCUUAACACAUGCAAGUCGAACGGAAAGGCCCUGCUUGCGUGUGGUGCUCGAGUGGCGAACGGGUGUGUAACAUGUGAGUAACCUGCCCUGGACGGUGGGAUAACUUCAGGAAACUGGGGCUAAUACCGGAUAGGAGCUCCUGCUGCUUGGGGGGGGUUGGAAAGUUUCGGCGGUUGGGGAUGGAGUCGGGGUUUAUCAGCUUGUUGGUGGGGGAGUGGCCUACCCAGGGUUUGACGGGUAGCCGGACUGGGAGGGCGACCGGCUCCAGUGGGACUGGGGUGGGGCCAAGACGGAAACGGGGGGCAGGAGCGGAAAAUAGUGCACGCUGGGCGGAGGCCGGGUAGAGGAACGCCGGGUGGGGGAUGACGGCCUUCGGGUUGUAAACCGCUUUCGCCUGUGACGAGGCGUGAGGGAGGGUAAUAGGGAAAGAGGCACGGGCUAACUACGU
RNAcentral lists this ribosomal RNA (467 nucleotides) under uncultured bacterium. RNAcentral describes it as "partial 16S ribosomal RNA". It matches the Rfam family "Bacterial small subunit ribosomal RNA", at positions 28 to 506 of the family's 1533-position model. The record is from RNAcentral.